AGUGGAAUUCCACGUGUAGCGGUGAAAUGCGUAGAGAUGUGGAGGAACACCAGUGGCGAAGGCGUAUUCUCUGGUCUGUAACUGACGCUGAGGCGCGAAAGCGUGGGGAGCGAACAGGAUUAGAUACCCUGGUAGUCCACGCCGUAAACGAUGAGUGCUAAGUGUUAGAGGGUUUCCGCCCUUUAGUGCUGCAGCAAACGCAUUAAGCACUCCGCCUGGGGAGUACGGUCGCAAGACUGAAACUCAAAGGAAUUGACGGGGGCCCGCACAAGCGGUGGAGCAUGUGGUUUAAUUCGAAGCAACGCGAAGAACCUUACCAGGUCUUGACAUCCUCUGACAACCCUAGAGAUAGGGCUUCCCCUUCGGGGGCAGAGUGACAGGUGGUGCAUGGUUGUCGUCAGCUCGUGUCGUGAGAUGUUGGGUUAAGUCCCGCAACGAGCGCAACCCUUGAUCUUAGUUGCCAGCAUUCAGUUGGGCACUCUAAGGUGACUGCCGGUGACAAACCGGAGGAAGGUGGGGAUGACGUCAAAUCAUCAUGCCCCUUAUGACCUGGGCUACACACGUGCUACAAUGGGCAGAACAAAGGGCAGCGAAGCCGCGAGGCUAAGCCAAUCCCACAAAUCUGUUCUCAGUUCGGAUCGCAGUCUGCAACUCGACUGCGUGAAGCUGGAAUCGCUAGUAAUCGCGGAUC
Molecule: ribosomal RNA, 691 nt
Filed under: Priestia megaterium
Lineage: Bacteria; Bacillati; Bacillota; Bacilli; Caryophanales; Bacillaceae
Description: bacterial SSU rRNA
Rfam family: Bacterial small subunit ribosomal RNA
Source: RNAcentral